UACGUAGGGGGCAAGCGUUGUCCGGACUCAUUGGGCGUAAAGAGCGUGUAGGCGGCCAGGUAGGUCGGUUGUGAAAACUGGAGGCUCAACCUUCAGAGGUCGACCGAAACCAUCUGGCUAGAGUCCGGGAGAGGAGAGUGGAAUUCCUGGUGUAGCGGUGAAAUGCGCAGAUAUCAGGAAGAACACCCGUGGCGAAAGCGGCUCUCUGGAACGGUACUGACGCUGAGACGCGAAAGCGUGGGGAGCGAACAGG
This 253-nucleotide ribosomal RNA is filed under the name uncultured bacterium. Its description in RNAcentral is "partial 16S ribosomal RNA". It matches the Rfam family "Bacterial small subunit ribosomal RNA", at positions 524 to 776 of the family's 1533-position model. The record is from RNAcentral.